GACGAACGCUGGCGGCGUGGAUUAGGCAUGCAAGUCGAACGGUAUCAUCCUUUCGGGGGUGAGAGAGUGGCGAACUGGUGAGUAACACGUAGGUUAUCUACCCUCAAGACGGGGACAACCCAGGGAAACUUGGGCUAAUACCGGAUGUGAGCAACUUUUAGUUGUUUGAAAGGUGGCGUAAGCUGUCGCUUGGGGAUGAGCCUGCGUCCUAUUAGUUAGUUGGUGAGGUAACGGCUCACCUAGGCAAUGAUAGGUAGGCGGCCUUAACGGGUGGUCGCCCACACUGGGAUUGAGAUACGGCCCAGACUCCUACGGGAGGCAGCAGUCGAGAAUAGUCUACAAUGGUCGGAAGACUGAUAGUGCGACGCCGCGUGAACGAUGAAUCCCUUCGGGGUGUAAAGUUCUUUUAUAUGUGAGCAGUGCUUCUUAUAUUAACAGUAUGGGGAAGAGAUAUUAGCAUAUGAAUAAGCAACGGCUAAACUCCGUGCCAGCAGCCGCGGUAAAUA
This 506-nucleotide ribosomal RNA is filed under the name uncultured bacterium. Its description in RNAcentral is "bacterial SSU rRNA". It matches the Rfam family "Bacterial small subunit ribosomal RNA", at positions 28 to 525 of the family's 1533-position model. The record is from RNAcentral.